UGCUGCUGCUGGCGGUCUGCAUCGCUGGACUCUUCAUCUGGAGGAGGAACAAUAACGGGGGGCAGUGAACAUAGAAGAGGAUGCUGAACUCCACAACUUAUCGUCUCAGAGGACUUUACAAUCUGUACAACAUAUAUUUCAUUAUUAUUAUUGUUAUUAUUAUUAUUUUUAUAUUCCUGGAAGUGAGAUCAAAAAUCGAUUUUACAAGGGAGAACUUAAUUCUUAAUUCUUAAGUACGGUAAAAGUAACAAUAACAAAUACUCCAAAUUAAGUAAAAGCUUUCAAUGUAUGUGUUUUUGUAUGUAAAAUAUUAAUCUGAAUGCUAACUAUAGUUGUAAAUAACUGAUGGAGUAAAAUGUAUAUUAUUCAAGUAUGAAUUAGCAAAAAAUGGAAAUACUCAAGUAAAGUAUAUGAACCUCAAAACUGGAUUUAAGUACUUUAGUAAAUGUAAUAAAUUAUUUUCCACCUUUGUACAA
Long non-coding RNA from Sebastes umbrosus (honeycomb rockfish), 476 nucleotides. RefSeq lists it as uncharacterized. NCBI's taxonomy places the organism in Eukaryota, Metazoa, Chordata, Actinopteri, Perciformes, Sebastidae. The record is from RefSeq and is a predicted model, not a curated record. The transcript has 2 exons.